This 465-nucleotide ribosomal RNA is filed under the name uncultured bacterium. RNAcentral describes it as "partial 16S ribosomal RNA". It matches the Rfam family "Bacterial small subunit ribosomal RNA", at positions 338 to 795 of the family's 1533-position model. The record is from RNAcentral.
CCUACGGGUGGCUGCAGUGGGGAAUAUUGCGCACUGGGCGAAAGCCUGACGCAGCGACGCCGCGUGAGGGAUGAAGGUCUUCGGAUCGUAAACCUCUGUCAGCAGGGAAGAACGGUCACUGUGCUAAUCAGCCGUGAAUUGACGGUACCUGCAAAGGCCGCACCGGCUAACUCCGUGCCAGCAGCCGCGUUAAUACGGAGGGUGCGCGCGUUAAUCGGAAUUACUGGGCGUAAAGCGCUCGUAGGCGGUAUGUCAAGUCAAGGGUGAAAUCCCCGCGCUCAACGUGGGAACUGCCUUUGAAUCUGGCAAACGGGGGUGGGUGUGAGGAGAGUGGAAUUCCAGGGGUAGGAGUGAAAUCCGUAGAUAUCGGGAGGAACAUCAGUGGCGAAGGCGACUAGCUGGCAAAUAACUGACGCUGAGGAGCGAAAGCGUGGGUAGCAAACAGGAUUAGAUACCCUAGUAGUC